UACGGGGGGGGCAAGCGUUGUUCGGAAUUACUGGGCGUAAAGGGCUCGUAGGCGGCCAACUAAGUCAAACGUGAAAUCCCUCGGACUUAACCGGGGGAACUGCCGUCUGAUACUGGAUGGCUUGAGUUUGGGAGAGGGAUGCGGAAUUCAGGUGUAGCGGUGAAAUGCGUAGAUAAUCUGGAGGAACACCGGUGGCGGAAAGGGCG
This 206-nucleotide ribosomal RNA is filed under the name uncultured bacterium. RNAcentral's name for it is "partial 16S ribosomal RNA". It matches the Rfam family "Bacterial small subunit ribosomal RNA", at positions 524 to 723 of the family's 1533-position model. The record is from RNAcentral.